CCUACGGGAGGCAGCAGUGAGGAAUAUUGGUCAAUGGACGAGAGUCUGAACCAGCCAAGUAGCGUGAAGGAUGACUGCCCUAUGGGUUGUAAACUUCUUUUAUAAAGGAAUAAAACGAGGCACGUGUGCCUUUUUGCAUGUACUUUAUGAAUAAGGAUCGGCUAACUCCGUGCCAGCAGCCGCGGUAAUACGGAGGAUCCGAGCGUUAUCCGGAUUUAUUGGGUUUAAAGGGAGCGUAGAUGGGUUGUUAAGUCAGUUGUGAAAGUUUGCGGCUCAACCGGAAAAUUGCAAUUGAUACUGGCAGUCGUGAGUACAGUUGAGGUAGGCGGAAUUCGUGGUGUAGCGGUGAAAUGCUUAGAUAGCACGAAGAACCCCGAUUGCGAAGGCAGCUUACUAAACUGUGACUGACAUUGAUGCUCGAAAGUGUGGGUAUCAAACAGGAUUAGAUACCCCAGUAGUC
Molecule: ribosomal RNA, 460 nt
Filed under: uncultured bacterium
Lineage: Bacteria
Description: partial 16S ribosomal RNA
Rfam family: Bacterial small subunit ribosomal RNA
Source: RNAcentral